This 85-nucleotide transfer RNA is filed under the name Nitrospira bacterium SG8_35_4. Its description in RNAcentral is "tRNA-Leu". It matches the Rfam family "tRNA". From Rfam's summary of the family: Transfer RNA (tRNA) molecules are approximately 80 nucleotides in length. Their secondary structure includes four short double-helical elements and three loops (D, anti-codon, and T loops). The record is from RNAcentral. Lineage: Bacteria; Pseudomonadati; Nitrospirota; Nitrospiria.
GGGCGUGUGGCGGAACUGGCAGACGCGCUGGACUUAGGAUCCAGUGGGGCAACCCGUGGGGGUUCAACUCCCUCCACGCCCACCA